This 253-nucleotide ribosomal RNA is filed under the name uncultured bacterium. RNAcentral describes it as "partial 16S ribosomal RNA". It matches the Rfam family "Bacterial small subunit ribosomal RNA", at positions 524 to 776 of the family's 1533-position model. The record is from RNAcentral.
UACGAAGGGGGCUAGCGUUGCUCGGAAUCACUGGGCGUAAAGCGCACGUAGGCGGAUCUUUAAGUCAGGGGUGAAAUCCUGGAGCUCAACUCCAGAACUGCCUUUGAUACUGGGGAUCUCGAGUCCGGGAGAGGUGAGUGGAACUCCGAGUGUAGAGGUGAAAUUCGUAGAUAUUCGGAAGAACACCAGUGGCGAAGGCGGCUCACUGGCCCGGUACUGACGCUGAGGUGCGAAAGCGUGGGGAUCAAACAGG